UGGCUCCUUGUGGGAAAAAGAUGGGGAGUCGGACCUGCCCGGUGAAGUUUUUUAACGGCCGCGGUACUCUGACCGUGCAAAGGUAGCAUAAUCAUUUGCCUUAUAAUUGAAGGCUGGCAUGAAUGGUUUGACAAGAAUACAUCUGUCUCUUUGUGAUUUGAUAGAAUUUUAUUUUUAGGUGAAAAAGCCUUAAUUUGAUUAAUAGACAAGAAGACCCUAUCGAGCUUUAAAGAAUUUAGUGGGUUAGAAAACUUAAUUGGUGGAAAAAGGAAUCUAUUAGAUAUUUUGGUUGGGGCGACUGAGGAACAUGAAAAGCUUCCUUUAAGUGUAUUAUUGACACACACAGGUAUUGAUCCAAAAAUGUUGAUUAAAGGAAUUAGUUACCGUAGGGAUAACAGCAUUAUCUUUUUUGAGAGUUCUUAUUGAAAAAAGGGUUUGUGACCUCGAUGUUGGACCAGAAUGUCCUAAAGAUGCAGAAGUCUUUGAGGGUUGGUCUGUUCGACCAUUAAAAUUCUA
RNAcentral lists this ribosomal RNA (516 nucleotides) under Terebra anilis. Its description in RNAcentral is "Cinguloterebra anilis partial 16S ribosomal RNA". It matches the Rfam family "Bacterial large subunit ribosomal RNA", at positions 1816 to 2598 of the family's 2925-position model. The record is from RNAcentral. Lineage: Eukaryota; Metazoa; Mollusca; Gastropoda; Neogastropoda; Terebridae.